GAAAGAGAGAGAAGCAGAGAGUGAAAGAGCAAGACAGAGCACAUGAGGUAAAGUUAAUUAACCUGGUAACUAUAUAUGGCAUAGCCCUGGGAAGGGCGUUAGAAUCCAGAGGCCACACCAGGCUGUGCACAGGGACUGCAAUGGAAUGAAUGGGAGGCACUUCAAAGCAAGAAGUGAUGCCAUUCCUAUCUGGACGACAACUGAAGAUUACUGGAGUGGCUCCUAGUUAUCUCAAAGACGGAAUUCCCUUUCCCUCUAAUGCCUUCAUCCUGGACCUAGACUAGAGGUCUAAUCUAGCCUUGGAGCCCUCAGGCGAGACCCAGAAGAAACAAAGUCCCCAGAGAAGGAACCAUUCCUAUGACCAGUGCCUGAAUUUCCUGCGAGAAUAAGGAAGCCUCACCCUCGGACUACCAGGCCACUGCUGCCCCCUCCUCCACUGUCUGGAAGUGUCAUCAGCAGAGGUGACUCCCCAGAGAUGACACAAGCCUCCUUUUCUAUAGUGCUAUCUACAGGACCGGAGCAAAGGAACAAGUGAGGAGACUGGGGUCUCAGAUACCACCAUGGGGUUGGAGUCACUAUGUCAGUAUUGUCAGGCUAAGCCUUGGGGCAAUGGCUCCAGGAAUUCAGGAUUGGGGUGUGUACACGUGUGUGUGUGUGUGUGUGUGUGUGUGUGUAUGUGUUGGGUUUUUAAUCACAGCAGCAUGCUUCCAAGCAAGCAAGAGAUGAGCGCUCUGCUUGACAUGGAGAUGAAAACUAGAAUAAAGCCCAUGAGAGUUUGUGCACUGAACACAUUGUACUAAGCCCAAUGUCUACACCAAAUAUUGUCCUUCUUUUAGUUGGGUCGCCCUUCCUUAGCAAGCAAAAUAGAAGAUACUUGUGUACAACAUGAGGAGUAACUGAAUAUACUAGACAUUUGUUAUAUCCAAAUAUGGCUCAUUUAUAAACUCAAUUUCCU
Long non-coding RNA from Myotis myotis, 955 nucleotides. RefSeq lists it as uncharacterized. The record is from RefSeq and is a predicted model, not a curated record. Lineage: Eukaryota; Metazoa; Chordata; Mammalia; Chiroptera; Vespertilionidae. The transcript is spliced from 4 exons.